UAGGGAAUCUUCGGCAAUGGGGGGAACCCUGACCGAGCAACGCCGCGUGAGUGAAGAAGGUUUUCGGAUCGUAAAGCUCUGUUGUUAAGGAAGAACGAGUGUGAGAAUGGAAAGUUCAUACUGUGACGGUACUUAACCAGAAAGGGACGGCUAACUACGUGCCAGCAGCCGCGGUAAUACGUAGGUCCCGAGCGUUGUCCGGAUUUAUUGGGCGUAAAGCGAGCGCAGGCGGUUAGAUAAGUCUGAAGUUAAAGGCAGUGGCUCAACCAUUGUAGGCUUUGGUAACUGUUUAACUUGAGUGCAGAAGGGGAGAGUGGAAUUCCAUGUGUAGCGGUGAAAUGCGUAGAUAUAUGGAGGAACACCGGUGGCGAAGGCGGCUCUCUGGUCUGUAACUGACGCUGAGGCUCGAAAGCGUGGGGAGCGAACAGG
Molecule: ribosomal RNA, 429 nt
Filed under: Bacteroidota bacterium
Lineage: Bacteria; Pseudomonadati; Bacteroidota
Description: Bacteroidetes bacterium partial 16S ribosomal RNA
Rfam family: Bacterial small subunit ribosomal RNA
Source: RNAcentral